This 163-nucleotide ribosomal RNA is filed under the name Atriplex canescens (four-winged saltbush). RNAcentral's name for it is "5.8S ribosomal RNA". It matches the Rfam family "5.8S ribosomal RNA". From Rfam's summary of the family: 5.8S ribosomal RNA (5.8S rRNA) is a component of the large subunit of the eukaryotic ribosome. It is transcribed by RNA polymerase I as part of the 45S precursor that also contains 18S and 28S rRNA. Lineage: Eukaryota; Viridiplantae; Streptophyta; Magnoliopsida; Caryophyllales; Amaranthaceae. The record is from RNAcentral.
AAACGACUCUCGGCAACGGAUAUCUCGGCUCUCGCAUCGAUGAAGAACGUAGCGAAAUGCGAUACUUGGUGUGAAUUGCAGAAAUCCCGUGAACCAUCGAGUCUUUGAACGCAAGUUGCGCCCGAAGCCUUUAGGUCGAGGGCACGCCUGCCUGGGCGUCACG